RNAcentral lists this long non-coding RNA (221 nucleotides) under Monodelphis domestica (gray short-tailed opossum). RNAcentral's name for it is "lncRNA (ENSMODG00000044388.1)". The record is from RNAcentral. Lineage: Eukaryota; Metazoa; Chordata; Mammalia; Didelphimorphia; Didelphidae.
ACUUGGAACCAGAGACCUGCAUUCUCUAGCUCUCAUCCUCACCAGCAAUGCCACGUUGGAAGAGCCCCUCCGAGGCAGCAUGUUGUACUGGAAAGAGAACAUGAUUUGGAAUCCAGUAUGAGGAUACUGAGGCUCAGCAAGAGAAGGUGAUUUCUUCAAGUUAAAGUUGGGAUUUGGACCUCAAUUUCCCAACUUCAAGUCAAGUGCUCUUCCUAUGUGAU